ACGGCUCAGUAACACGUAGUCAAUCUAACCUAUGGACGAGGAUAAUCUCGGGAAACUGAGAAUAAUACUCGAUAGAUCAUUAUGCCUGGAAUGGUUUAUGGUCCAAAUGAAUUUCGCCAUAGGGUGGGACUGCGGUCUAUCAGCUUGUUGGUGAGGUAAUGGCCCACCAAGGCUAUAACAGAUACGGGCUCUGAGAGGAGAGGCCCGGAGAUGGGUACUGAGACACGGACCCAGGCCCUAUGGGGCGCAGCAGGCGAGAAAACUUUGCAAUGUGCGAAAGCACGACAAGGUUAAUCCGAGUGGUUCCUGCUAAAGGAAUCUUUUGUUAGUCGUAACACCACUGAUGAAUAAGGGGUGGGCAAGUUCUGGUGUCAGCCGCCGCGGUAAAACCAGCACCUCAAGUGGCCAGGAGGAUUAUUGGGCCUAAAGCAUCCGUAGCCGGCUCUGUAAGUUUUCGGUUAAAUCUAUAUGCUCAACAUAUGGGCUGCCGGGAAUACUGCACAGCUAGGGAGUGGGAGAGGUAGACGGUACUCCGUAGGAAGGGGUAAAAUCCUUUGAUCUAUGGAUGACCACCUGUGGCGAAGGCGGUCUACCAGAACACGUCCGACGGUGAGGGAUGAAAGCUGGGGGAGCAAACCGGAUUAGAUACCCGGGUAGUCCCAGCUGUAAACUAUGCAAACUCAGUGAUGCAUUGGCUUGUGGCCAGUGCAGUACCGCAGGGAAGCCGUUAAGUUUGCCGCCUGGGAAGUACGUACGCAAGUAUGAAACUUAAAGGAAUUGGCGGGGGAGCAC
This 792-nucleotide ribosomal RNA is filed under the name uncultured crenarchaeote. Its description in RNAcentral is "bacterial SSU rRNA". It matches the Rfam family "Archaeal small subunit ribosomal RNA", at positions 85 to 879 of the family's 1478-position model. The record is from RNAcentral. Lineage: Archaea; Thermoproteati; Thermoproteota.